RNAcentral lists this transfer RNA (74 nucleotides) under Brachyspira aalborgi. Its description in RNAcentral is "tRNA-Ala". It matches the Rfam family "tRNA". From Rfam's summary of the family: Transfer RNA (tRNA) molecules are approximately 80 nucleotides in length. Their secondary structure includes four short double-helical elements and three loops (D, anti-codon, and T loops). Lineage: Bacteria; Pseudomonadati; Spirochaetota; Spirochaetia; Brachyspirales; Brachyspiraceae. RNAcentral also lists the same sequence under 3 other names. The record is from RNAcentral.
GGGGAUGUAGCUCAGUUUGGGAGAGCAUCACGCUGGCAGCGUGAGGGUCGUGGGUUCGAACCCCAUCAUCUCCA